Molecule: long non-coding RNA, 138 nt
Organism: Coregonus clupeaformis (lake whitefish)
Lineage: Eukaryota; Metazoa; Chordata; Actinopteri; Salmoniformes; Salmonidae
Exons: 3
Source: RefSeq, a predicted model, not a curated record
CCCUGACAGCACUCCUCAGGAGUUUGAGGAGGAGUUUGUGGAGGAGCAAAAUAAUGCUGCAGAUGUGCCCCAGUUGCGGCGUUACUUUGAAAACCAAGGGACAACCAACUUCUCUCUGAGGCUGGCCGCUAUCAGACG